This 439-nucleotide ribosomal RNA is filed under the name uncultured Glomeromycotina. RNAcentral describes it as "SSU rRNA". It matches the Rfam family "Eukaryotic small subunit ribosomal RNA", at positions 569 to 1015 of the family's 1831-position model. The record is from RNAcentral. Lineage: Eukaryota; Fungi; Glomeromycota.
AGCAGCCGCGGUAAUUCCAGCUCCAAUAGCGUAUAUUAAAGUUGUUGCAGUUAAAAGCUCGUAGUUGAAUUUCGGGAUCAAUGGAUUGGUCAUGCCGAUGGUGUGUACUGGUCAUAUUGGUUCUCACCUUCUAAGGAACCAUAAUGUCAUUUAUUUGAUGUUGUGGGGAAUUAGGACUGUUACCUUGAAAAAUUAGAGUGUUUAAAGCAGGCUAACGCUUGAAUACAUUAGCAUGGAAUAAUGAAAUAGGACAUCGCAUUCUAUUUUGUUGGUUUCUAGGAUCGAUGUAAUGAUUAAUAGGGAUAGUUGGGGGCAUUAGUAUUCAAUUGUCAGAGGUGAAAUUCUUGGAUUUAUUGAAGACUAACUACUGCGAAAGCAUUUGCCAAGGAUGUUUUCAUUAAUCAAGAACGAAAGUUAGGGAUCGAAGACGAUCAGAUAC